This is a long non-coding RNA of Cercocebus atys (sooty mangabey), 2291 nucleotides long. The record is from Ensembl. NCBI's taxonomy places the organism in Eukaryota, Metazoa, Chordata, Mammalia, Primates, Cercopithecidae.
CAUAUUUUCCCUCCCAUCAGCAAAUAUUAUUUUCUUUUUCUUAUCUGAUAUUAAAAAUAUUGCAAUAAGGAAAUAUUUAAAAAGCAUUAUCUAAAACAUAUGUUAAAUCAUAUAUUACUUAAAAUUUACAUCUGUUUCAUCGGGCUACCAAAUUUCUUCCAUAGUGUAUUUCAUAAAGGAGAAGAUGCUGAUAAGAUCUCGUUUAAAUGGCUUGCUAAUACAAGAAGCAGAUCAUUUUAAAUGGACCUUACAUCUUUAUAGGAUGUUAGAAAUGAAGACAUUACCUCAAAAUCAGAAAACCUUGGCUGACAUACUCAAGGCUAAAAUGCAGUCAGCGGAAAUGGAAACACUUCAACUCUGCCCCUGUGGCAAGAAUGGCUUCCCUUCAGACAAUCUGGUCAGAUUCUUUAUGGACCCAAUGGGAGGUACAUACUCGGGGCAUUCCGUUUAUGUUUUUCCUGACCUACCUGCUCCUUAGAGCUACAUCCUAAGACUGCUGCUUGUGUAAAACCUUUCAGAACUAUGCAUCAUUGAUCUAGCCAUAAUCACACUGAUCUGUUGGCUUUUCACUAAACUUUACUUAAGUGAAAACUAACCCUCUCCUUCCUGUUUGGGGUUAUGAUUGACUGUAUGUCUUUUGAAUGGUGUGAAGACGCUGGCUGUGAAACUGGAACACUGCUUUUUAAAUGUCUUUAAAAGAAGGAAAGAAAAAUGUGUACCCUCAACUACCACAGAGCAAGAUAAAAGAAAAUAAUGACAGCAUGCACUGAGUUGGCAAUGUUGACCUUUAGAAAAUUUUUUUAGAACAUCUCAACAGUUUGAAAAUGACUUUCUCUUUUAUUUUUCCCAAAUUUAUUCUUUUAAAAAUACAAGAAUUUCGUAAGGAUGUAUUUUAAUUUAUUGAUGCAAUUUUUCAAUUAUGCUACACAUGUAUUUAUUGAGAGCCUCUUAAAUAUUUUUGUUUUUUAGAAAACAAACAUGUCACUUUCUGCCUGAGAUAUAGAACUAGGACAGGUAAAUAAAAAGAAUAGGAAACAAGAGGCCAUAAGGACAUUAAAAAUUGGUCAGAAAGACCAGCAGGAAUACUAGCAAGGUAUGGGCAUGAGAUCUAGUAUAGAGUGUUACCAGCUUUUACUUUUCAUCUCAUCCCACUCCCAAAUCACUUAGACUCUGUUGAGCAGGUAUAUAUGAAGUUAAGCUUUAUACACAAUAUGCAGGUAAGAAGUUAUACAAAUGUAUAGAUAUAAAAACCAUGUUAGGUGUCUUUUAUGUGGGCAGCACUGAUUUCAGAUGCUAAGCUUUUACUAUACAUGUCUAUAAUUUUAUGACACUAGGUUAGUAUAAGUAGUUAGUAAUAUUUAUGGUCCUCACUCAUUUCUCCCUGCACAUUCCAUGCAUGUAGGUAAUUUUUCUACAUCGAAUAGCUUAUUCUUUUAUAAGGAAUGGGAAUGGAAAGGGGUAAUUAUCAUUUAGUUGCUUAGUACUGUAUUUUUAUGUAUGCAAAGGCAGACCUCUUGCCCCACCUUUCAAAACAGCAUUCCUAAACAUCACAGUGCACCCAGGGCUGCUGAAUGAGGGCAUGUGUGCUGACCCGAAUUAUUAGCACAUCCAUCUGUCCAGCAACACUAUGAAAUACUUUCCAUUUUUCACAUUACACAUCUUUUAUGUGAAAACAUACACACACAUAAUGGCAGCUUUAAUCAACAGUUUAGCUCUGGAUAAAAAUUAACAUUGACCAUAAUGAUUUCCUUUCACAUAUUAUUCUAAUUCUAAAAUUAGUAAAAAUAAAAGAGUGGUUAAAUAAAUAUUUUAAAAAUCUUGAUUCCUUUCUCAUUUUUCUCUAGAUCCUUCUUUUCUUACAUUCAACCUUGUUUAUAAAGGUUGUUAUAUAAAGAAAUAAUGCCUGUUAGUUAUAAAAAUGGUCUGGUUGCGUAUAAGUAAAGGCAGAUGAGUCACUUUGCCAUUAUCCCAGGUGAGUUCAACAAAUAGGUUAUAGGUUAGAUUUCAUGCAGGAAUCAAAACAGCGGCUCUAAUACAUCAUCCCAAAGGAAUUUUUUAGCAGCAUAUUAGUCUGUUAUGCAACAAUCAACUGUGGCUCUAGUUAAGGAAACAAGUUUUAUUUCAUAAUGUGAGGAUUGACUUCUGAUACCCAGAAAAGAGUGAAAUAAAGAGCCUUGAGAACAUAUCAUCUUAAAUUCUUCCCUGGAAAAAUAACCUGGUGAUUGAUUAUACCAAAGAACUGAGAUCCCUGCAGUGUUCAAGCUACCGUAUUUAAUGUCAUUUGAUUCCGC